UUCCGGGUAGCUCAGACGGUAAAGAAUCUGCCUGCAAUGCAGGAGACCCAGGUUCGAUCCUUGGGUUGGGAA
RNAcentral lists this transfer RNA (72 nucleotides) under Bos taurus (domestic cattle). It matches the Rfam family "tRNA". From Rfam's summary of the family: Transfer RNA (tRNA) molecules are approximately 80 nucleotides in length. Their secondary structure includes four short double-helical elements and three loops (D, anti-codon, and T loops). Further hydrogen bonds mediate the characteristic L-shaped molecular structure. tRNAs have two regions of fundamental functional importance: the anti-codon, which is responsible for specific mRNA codon recognition, and the 3' end, to which the tRNAs corresponding amino acid is attached (by aminoacyl-tRNA synthetases). tRNAs cope with the degeneracy of the genetic code in two manners: having more than one tRNA (with a specific anti-codon) for a particular amino acid; and 'wobble' base-pairing, i.e. permitting non-standard base-pairing at the 3rd anti-codon position. The record is from Rfam by way of RNAcentral. RNAcentral also lists the same sequence under 2 other names. Lineage: Eukaryota; Metazoa; Chordata; Mammalia; Artiodactyla; Bovidae.